RNAcentral lists this unclassified non-coding RNA (250 nucleotides) under Glomeraceae sp. RNAcentral's name for it is "partial contains 5.8S ribosomal RNA and internal transcribed spacer 2". The stretch from base 1 to 65 matches the Rfam family "5.8S ribosomal RNA", at positions 84 to 154 of the family's 154-position model. Lineage: Eukaryota; Fungi; Glomeromycota; Glomeromycetes; Glomerales; Glomeraceae. The record is from RNAcentral.
GUGAAUCAUCGAAUUUUUGAACGCAAAUUGCACUCUCCUCUGAGAGUAUGCCUGUUUGUGUGUCAGCCUAUAAAAAUCGACAUCGUUACUGUUUCUCGUUAACGUUUGUCGGAAAUUUGGUCAUCUUAAAUCUUUUGGUUUAAGCUACUUAAAAAUUUCUUUUUGAUUCCAUGAACGUUUCUAAGAUUUAUUUCUUUACACGUUUAAGGUAUCGAUUUAUUAGUCGUUGCCGUCAUAUCUGAUCUCUUCC